UCAACACACUCGAGGAAAAUAGACACAACACCUCCAUCAGAACCGCCUCAGAGUAAAACAACAAACUCUCCACCUGCAUCAUCCUCAACAACACUGGAACAAGAUAAACAGCAAACACACAGCAGCCUCCCUCUAGUUUUUGGCAUUCUGGGAGUUUUACUGCUGGUGAUAUCCGGUGUAGUGGCAUUUAUUUGUUGGAGACGCAAAGGAGGAAGAUGUGGAGAGAACGUGAUUACUGAAGGACGUCUGGACUGUAAGAGAAAGCAGAAGGAUCGGACUGAACCUGAUGUUACUUACUCUACUGUAACCCACGUGAACACAGGCGGAGCAGCACGGGUCCAGAUCAACGCUGGAAACAACACUGAAAAUGCCAGCAUUCUCACAACCUAACCACAGUAAAUAUCUAGAAUAAUACUGAAUACAUACAGUAUAUUAAAUACACACCAUGGUAAGCACAGGAUUUACAGUAUUGGCUUUGUUUAUUUUAAUGUGACUCUUUUUUUUUUUUACCAUUAUUAGCAGAUUUAAUCACAUUUGUGUGCUGAUGGAUAAUCCUGCAAAUUAUAUUUUGUGUGUUUGUGUCAUUUUAUAUCUUUUGUGUACCAUACUUAUAUCAUUCUUUAAAAAAAAAAAUGUUCUAGAAGGCUUUUGUCAUCACCCUGUUUGCGUAAGGCGAUUGCUGUAGAAGUUCUUGUUUGUGUCUGUCAUGAGAAAGUCUCUCUGGACUGAAUGUGUGCUUCUAAACUAGUUGUGGUGAAAUUGUGUAGUUGUAAUGUAAUUGUGAAAACCUUAUAACAUGUUAAAGGGUGCAUGAUAGUGUGCUUGUUGAGUGUGGAGUAUCACACAGUAUUCUGUGCAUGGUAUAUCUUUGUUUAACUUUGAGAAAGAAGAAGUAGCCAUUUUCCCAUCAGUCCCCACUGCCCUGGCCACAGUCUUGGAGGCGGAGCUUAGCCUGCCUUUUAUCUAGCUGCCAGUGCAGACCAGUGUUACCAAUUUAGUGACUUUUAAGACCCCUUUAGUGACUAACGACCCCUACCGACCCCUAACUAAAUCUAGCGACUUUUUGGACAAACCUUAGCAACUUUCCAAAUGUCACCAGUACUGUCCUACAAGCGCGAGGUCUUUAUUUCCUGCUGCACUCUCACCUCUCUCUAUGUCUGCUCUGUUCAGUGAGAGGCUGAGAGCCAGAGCAGCACAUCCUGUUGAUCGCAUGGCAGCUGACAUAGACGUGAAUGUAAAGCAAUUACAAAAAAGAAGCAAUUGCAGGUGUCCCACCGAUUGAUUUAACAAUGUCAUGAAUAAUGAGACGUGCCCUUCGUCCUAAUUACAUCACUCUUAUGUGAAUGUUUUUAGAACGUAAGAUGAAUGGAAUGCAACAUAUUUUACAUGUAAAAUAGUCCAUGUUAUUACAGUCUAGUUCUCUUGU
Molecule: long non-coding RNA, 1426 nt
Organism: Ictalurus punctatus (channel catfish)
Lineage: Eukaryota; Metazoa; Chordata; Actinopteri; Siluriformes; Ictaluridae
Exons: 4
Source: RefSeq, a predicted model, not a curated record